Molecule: long non-coding RNA, 3825 nt
Organism: Haliotis rubra (blacklip abalone)
Lineage: Eukaryota; Metazoa; Mollusca; Gastropoda; Lepetellida; Haliotidae
Exons: 2
Source: RefSeq, a predicted model, not a curated record
UACCGAAUUGGUUAAAACGUUCCCUUGUCACGCCGAAGACUCGGAUUUGAUUCGAUUCGGUAUAAUGUGUUGAGCCAAAUUCUGGUGUCCCCUGCCCUGAUAUUGCUGGAAUAUUUUUAAUGGCGGCGUAAAACACUACUCACUCGCUUACUCGAACAAAGCAAGGUUGGGUUUAUAGCAGCUGUGUGUUCAUGUGUGAUGGAGGAACAGUCCAUACGAACCUCAGAAGUAUUCACGAUGAAAUACAGUCUGUGUCCUGCCUGCAUCAAGGACACGAGAUUUGUCUUAAGAAAUGUAAUAUGUUAAUUGCAUCCGAGUGCUUGAUAUGUUGAAUACGGUACAACGUUUAUGAUGUAUGUAUAUAAGACCUUCAGUUGUAUAUGAGGUGGUCCAAUGGUGUUGUCAGAGUUUGGCCUUUUUUAGCUGUAAAUAAACUGGACAAUUUGGAACUUUGUAGCAGGUGGUACAAUUGGUUGAAUUAUUCAUGGGUUUUUGAAAACAGUAUCGUUUGAUAAUUAUUGAAUUAUUUGUAAGAUCAGUGGAUCUGUUAAAUGUCUCUCUUAUUGAAAAUAUGACAGUCGUCAUGCCGAGACAGCAGGUAGAGACAAGACGAUUGUCUUUGCUAGAUUUUCAGAUCUGUGGUAUGUUUUGGAUCUGUGAUAAGUCUUCAUGUCACAUGGUGAUAGUCAUACAGUUUUGUGUAGAUACAGGCGUUCCAAUCUAUUAAUUAAACAAUAUUUAAAGAAGUAAAUGAUGAAAUAUGAGAAGAGGAGUUGAAAAGGAUUGGGUUGAAGGAGCUGGAUGUGAAGGGUGAGUUAUGCAGAGGUUGAAGUGUGAGACAUUUAAAGAGUGAAGGGGUGAGCUGUAAAGGAUAAGGUGGAAGCAGUGAUACGUAAAGGGAGAGUUAUGCUGAGUUUCAAGGCUGAGACAUGUAAGGGGGAUCUGUAAAAGAGAAACAGGUGAGCUGUGAAGGGGUGAGCUGUAAAGGGUGAAGGGGUGAGCUGUAAAGGGUGAAGGGGUGAGCUGUAAAGGGUGAAGCGGUGAGGUGUAAAGGAUAAGGGUGAGGUGUAAAGGAUGUAUAGUGAAAUCUAUUGGUUGAAACACUGAAAAAGUAAAGAAACAGGGACCGAGACACAAAAGCAAGAAAACAACUGAUUGGUGGACUUCCUUUUGAACUCCAUUUUAGCAGAAAUUAAUCUGUCAAGACAAGGGGAUUAUACUUUCCUACCACUAAUUAGACAAACUGUCACAGAUUUGAUUUGUACCAUAGAUCUGAGGUCUGCAAAUUUAGGAGACCACAGUGAUACGAAGACAAGCUGAAAGGAUUGUCAAUCAGAUGUACAGAUUUCAUCUGCAGUCGUCCAGUAAACUGUCAUAUUAUCGUCGGGUCUGUGAAAGAAUUUUGAAAUUUGCCAAAAAUGUUUGAGGAUGUUACAAGUUUGAAAGUUUUCUUUUUGAACAAAUUGGUGAACAAUACGUUGGAGAACUUCCUGUCUGUUAUGUAAAUAUUGUUGUAACCUAUUACUACUGGGAGUAUCACGAUAAUAUAUAUAUAUAUAUGUGUGAUAUGGGUUAACAAAUAUUGUAAUGAGAUCUUCUUGAUGGUCUCUGUUAGCUUGUUUGCAUCUGAUGUUGAAAGACAGGAUUAUUAAAAUGUUCAUUUGCUUUGUAUUGUUUACGUAUAUUUGGAGAAGAAUACCAACUUUUUUCAGAUUGCCGGUAGUAUUGAGCUUGUUGGAUGUUUUCCGGGCAAUAUUAGUUUGAGCUGAUUCAUAAAUCAGUUUUAUGUCUUAAUUCUAAAAAUUAUUAAUUAGCUUUGCUUACAAGAGAUUAACAACUUGGUUAUUCAUUCUUUAAAUUUGAAGUGAUUAAUUUUAUUAUUCUUGUGUUUAUUAAUAAAUUUGAUAUGUAUUGCCGUUUGCUUUAUGUGGUGUAGAUGAGUUCUCUUCCAACUACUGCAGUGAAACCUUGUUAAACUGGACCUUGUUAAACAGGACCUUGUUAAUCAGGACCUUGAUAAUCUGAAAACCUUAUCAUUCAGGGCGAUUACUGCUUUUGCACUUCCAUGCACACACAGUGACAUUACUCUAAAAAAUCAGUGAAAAAUCUUUGAAAUUUAAAAGAUUUGAGUUUUUUUCUUUGUUGUCCUGAUUAACAGGUGUUCACUGUACAUGUGGGGACCAUAUCAUGACUUCAGAAACUUAUUUAUGGGAAACCUUGAUAGGCUUUUUCAAAAGGAGGCAGUGUAUUUUAAUGCAAGUCCCUAAAUUUCAAGAUAAAAUGGAAAAGGCUGUGGCUAAGCCAACACUGAUGCAAAGUUCUAAUAGAAAUUUUCAACAGAUGUUGAACAUGGGUAUUUUUUUGUCGACAAAAGUACCUUCUGUACAGGCAAUACUAACAUAGUGUCAUCUAUAUACGUAGUUUUUUGGGAAGUGCUGGUAAUUUUUGUGUUAUGCUCAGUUGUGUUUUUGUGCUCACUACGACCAUUAAUUCAUUCCAACAUUCCAGUCCUGUGAUGUACGAGGCUUUGGUAGUGUGUGUAGUCAGUAGACUUGAGGCAAGGCAGUGCCGGGAGUGGAGAGUUAAUUAAUACAGAUAUGUUGCAGAAAUGAUUAUUUCUACAAUUAUCGUUACUGUGAUGUGAAUCUGGGAUAUAGGAUCUUAAUCUCCCUGAAAUUUGGUUUCAAUCUCCAGAGGCGGUGGUUAAAGCGUUCGCUCGUCACGCGGAUUCCCAACAUGGGUACAAUGUGUGAAGCCCAUUUCUGGUAUCCCCCGCCAUGAUAUUGCUGGAAUAUUACUAAAAGUGGCAUAAAAGUUCACUCACUCAAAUCUCCAUAUUUAUGACUAAUGUUAAGACCUUGUAAUAGGAAUCUGAUUUCUCCGUCACAGGACCAAUAUAGGGAAAGAGGAUUUACAUUAAUAGUGUAAAAAUAAAUCCCAAAAUCCCAGGUUCAUUCAGUUUUUCCCAAGAUCAGUUGAUUUGGAAUCCGAUAUGAAUUAAGAAGACUCCCACCCACUCACUGCCUUGUCUUGUGUCUGUUUCCAUGUUGAGUAUACUGGAAAUUCUGUGCCCAACAAAGGCAGCUUUUGGUCUGCGAUUUGCUUUUUGUGCAAUUUGUGUGCGUGUGUGCUUGUAUAUCGUUGGUGGUAGCUUAAGUUUGAACUGAAGAAAAUCAAACAUUCUCAACCUGGGCCUGUUCCACAAAACGAUCUUAACGAUAACUCUACAUCGACCAGAGUUGUGGUAUCCGUAACAGCAGGAUUGCUUUGUGGAACGAAAAUAUUUAUUCUAAUCUGACUUGCAACGAUGAAUUUUGUACUCUAAUUAGCAUGUACCAGAAUAGCCACUGUUGAACAGUAUAGAAGUCAUUUGGUUAAUAUACUGAAAUUUCCUUAAACAAAUGUGUUCCAGUACCAACAUGUCAUUGAUGUUAUAGUUUGAUGCUCAUUAUGUCAAUCACUGGUUCUGUGGUCCAGACUUAAUUAUACAUAGCUGGAAUAUUGCUGAGUGUGGCGUUAAACAACAAACACUGGAAAAAGUCCAAAAGUGACAAUCCUAGUCCCAUUAGACGAAAUGCACAAGUAGUAUGGUUGCUUCUAAAAUGGCAACCAAUUCUUUUUCUAAUGUUUGGGACUCAGGUCUCACACCAGGGUAGUCUGAGAGGCCAAUGUUUGUAUAGUUGAUGUGACGCACAACGCUGUUUGUACUGUUUGCUUCUUGUGUAGACAUUUGCCUUGCUUCAGUUUUCACUGUUAUGAUGUACAUAUCGGACAUAUAUUUUAAGAGCAAUCACCACUGUGAGAAUAAAAAUCUAUCAUUUUUUA